CAAAAGCUUGGUCCUGACUUUGUUGUCAGCUUUGAUUUAAUUUAUACAUGCAAGUAUCUGCACCCCUGUGAGAAUGCCCUACUUACUCCUCUCUGGAGUAAAGGAGCAGGCAUUAGGCACAACCUUAAGUUAGCCCACAACGCCUUGCUCAGCCACACCCCUAAGGGAACUCAGCAGUAGUAGACAUUAAGCAAUAAGUGAAAACUUGACUUAGUUAAAAUCAACAGGGCCGGUAAAACUCGUGCCAGCCACCGCGGUUAUACGAGAGGCCCGAGUUGACAAACCAACGGCAUAAAAAGUGGUUAGUAUAAAUGCCCAACUAAAGCCAAACACCUUCAAAGUUGUCAUAUGCUAUCGAAGGCAGGAGGAACCCCCACGAAAGUGGCUUUAAACCAUACAACCCCACGAAAGCUAGGAAACAAACUGGGAUUAGAUACCCCACUAUGCCUAGCCCUAAACAUAGGUUACAUUUUACACCUUUAUUUGCCAGGGAACUACGAGCCACAGCUUAAAACCCAAAGGACUUGGCGGUGCUUUAGACCCCCCUAGAGGAGCCUGUUCUAGAACCGAUAACCCCCGUUAAACCUCACCCUCCCUUGUACAUUCCGCCUAUAUACCGCCGUCGUCAGCUUACCCUGUGAAGGCAUCAAAGUAAGCAUAAUUGGUACUACCUAAAACGCCAGGUCGAGGUGUAGCCAAUGAGAGGGGAAGAAAUGGGCUACAUUCACUGCCUCAGUGAAUACGGAUGAUGAAUUGAAACAAACAUCUAAAGGAGGAUUUAGCAGUAAGGGAUGAACUAGAGUGUCCCCCUGAAACUGGCCCUGAAGCGCGCACACACCGCCCGUCACUCUCCCCCAACACAUCAAACCCAAAAUAAAUAAACAACCAUAAAAACAAAGGGGAGGCAAGUCGUAACAUGGUAAGUGUACUGGAAAGUGCACUUGGAAAAAC
Molecule: non-coding RNA, 951 nt
Filed under: Taenioides cirratus (bearded worm goby)
Lineage: Eukaryota; Metazoa; Chordata; Actinopteri; Gobiiformes; Gobiidae
Description: rrn12
Rfam family: Bacterial small subunit ribosomal RNA
Source: RNAcentral